Molecule: ribosomal RNA, 301 nt
Filed under: uncultured bacterium
Lineage: Bacteria
Description: partial 16S ribosomal RNA
Rfam family: Bacterial small subunit ribosomal RNA
Source: RNAcentral
CAGUCGCCGCGGGAAUACAGAGGGUGCGAGCGUUAAUCGGAUUUACUGGGCGUAAAGCGUGCGUAGGCGGCUUCUUAAGUCGGAUGUGAAAUCCCUGAGCUUAACUUAGGAAUUGCAUUCGAUACUGGGAAGCUAGAGUAUGGGAGAGGAUGGUAGAAUUCCAGGUGUAGCGGUGAAAUGCGUAGAGAUCUGGAGGAAUACCGAUGGCGAAGGCAGCCAUCUGGCCUAACACUGACGCUGAGGUACGAAAGCAUGGGGAGCAAACAGGAUUAGAUACCCCAGUAGUCCCUGUCUCUUAUAC